Molecule: ribosomal RNA, 492 nt
Filed under: uncultured bacterium
Lineage: Bacteria
Description: partial 16S ribosomal RNA
Rfam family: Bacterial small subunit ribosomal RNA
Source: RNAcentral
AGUGAACGCUGGCGGUAGGCUUAACACAUGCAAGUCGAACGGCAGCACAGUAAGAGCUUGCUCUUACGGGUGGCGAGUGGCGGACGGGUGAGGAAUAUAUCGGAAUCUACUUUUUCGUGGGGGAUAACGUAGGGAAACUUACGCUAAUACCGCAUACGCCGUACCGGUGAAAGCAGGGGAUCUUCGGACCUUGCGCGAUUGAAUGAGCCGAUGUCGGAUUGGCUAGUUGGCGGGGUAAAGGCCCACCAAGGCGAGGAUCCGUAGCUGGUCUGAGAGGAGGGUCGGCCGCACGGGAGGGGGGACGCGCACCAGACUCCUGCGGGAGGGAGCAGUGGGGAAUGUUGGGCAAUGGGCGCGAGCCUGGUCCAGCCAUACCGCGUGGGUGGAGGAGGCCUUCGGUUUGGAAAGCCCUUUUUUUGGGAAAGAAAAGCAGCAGGUUGAUACGACGCGGUUCUGACGGUACCCAAUGAAUAAGCACCGGCUAACUUCGUG